This 440-nucleotide ribosomal RNA is filed under the name uncultured bacterium. Its description in RNAcentral is "partial 16S ribosomal RNA". It matches the Rfam family "Bacterial small subunit ribosomal RNA", at positions 338 to 795 of the family's 1533-position model. The record is from RNAcentral.
CCUACGGGUGGCAGCAGUGGGGAAUAUUGCACAAUGGGGGAAACCCUGAUGCAGCGACGCCGCGUGAGUGAAGAAGUAUCUCGGUACGUAAAGCUCUAUCAGCAGGGAAGAAAAUGACGGUACCUGACUAAGAAGCCCCGGCUAACUACGUGCCAGCAGCCGCGGUAAUACGUAGGGGGCAAGCGUUAUCCGGAUGUAUUGGGUGUAAAGGGAGCGUAGACGGCAGUACAAGUCUGGAGUGAAAUCCCGGGGCUUAACCGCGGAACUGCGUUGGAAACUGUGCGGCUGGAGUGCAGGAGGGGUAAGCGGAAUUCCUGGUGUAGCGGUGAAAUGCGUAGAUAUUAGGAGGAACACCGGUGGCGAAGGCGGCUUACUGGACUGUAACUGACGCUGAGGCUCGAAAGCGUGGGGAGCAAACAGGAUUAGAUACCCGGGUAGUC